Molecule: ribosomal RNA, 220 nt
Filed under: uncultured bacterium
Lineage: Bacteria
Description: partial 16S ribosomal RNA
Rfam family: Bacterial small subunit ribosomal RNA
Source: RNAcentral
GCAAGUCGAGCGCGCCCUUCGAGCCGAGCGGCGAACGGCUGAGUAACACGUUGGUACGUGCCCUCUACUCAGGGAUAACUCCGUGAAAGCGGAGCUAAUACCGGAUGGUCCCGUAAGGGUAAAGAUUUUUCGGUAGAGGAGCGGCCUGCGGCCUAUCAGCUUGUUGGUGAGGUAAUAGCUCACCAAGGCUAUGACGGGUAUCUGGUGUGAGAGCAUGACC